AUUGAACGCUGGCGGCAGGCCCAACACAUGCAAGUCGAGCGGAUGAAGGGAGCUUGCUCCUGGAUUCAGCGGCGGACGGGUGAGUAAUGCCUAGGAAUCUGCCUGGUAGUGGGGGAUAACGUCCGGAAACGGGCGCUAAUACCGCAUACGUCCUGAGGGAGAAAGUGGGGGAUCUUCGGACCUCACGCUAUCAGAUGAGCCUAGGUCGGAUUAGCUAGUUGGUGGGGUAAAGGCCUACCAAGGCGACGAUCCGUAACUGGUCUGAGAGGAUGAUCAGUCACCCUGGAACUGAGACACGGUCCAGACUCCUACGGGAGGCAGCAGUGGGGAAUAUUGGACAAUGGGCGAAAGCCUGAUCCAGCCAUGCCGCGUGUGUGAAGAAGGUCUUCGGAUUGUAAAGCACUUUAAGUUGGGAGGAAGGGCAGUAAGUUAAUACCUUGCUGUUUUGACGUUACCAACAGAAUAAGCACCGGCUAACUUCGUG
RNAcentral lists this ribosomal RNA (484 nucleotides) under uncultured bacterium. Its description in RNAcentral is "partial 16S ribosomal RNA". It matches the Rfam family "Bacterial small subunit ribosomal RNA", at positions 30 to 507 of the family's 1533-position model. The record is from RNAcentral.